This 740-nucleotide ribosomal RNA is filed under the name Aerococcus sp. Z35-SB-E14. RNAcentral's name for it is "bacterial SSU rRNA". It matches the Rfam family "Bacterial small subunit ribosomal RNA", at positions 62 to 783 of the family's 1533-position model. The record is from RNAcentral. Lineage: Bacteria; Bacillati; Bacillota; Bacilli; Lactobacillales; Aerococcaceae.
UCGAGCGAACGGAUGAAAGUGCUUGUCUUCUGACGUUAGCGGCGAGCGCCGUGAGUAACACGUAAGGAAUCUACCUAUAAGGGGGGGAUAACAUUCGGAAACGGGUGCUAAUACCGCAUAAUAUCUUCUUCCGCAUGGAAGAAGAUUGAAAGACGGCUCUGCUGUCACUUAUAGAUGACCUUGCGGUGCAUUAGUUAGUUGGUGGGGUAACGGCCUACCAAGACGAUGAUGCAUAGCCGACCUGAGAGGGUGAUCGGCCACAUUGGGACUGAGACACGGCCCAAACUCCUACGGGAGGCAGCAGUAGGGAAUCUUCCGCAAUGGGCGAAAGCCUGACGGAGCAAUGCCGCGUGAGUGAAUAAGGCCUUCGGGUCGUAAAACUCUGUUAUAAGAGAAGAACAAAUUGUAGAGUAACUGCUACAGUCUUGACGGUAUCUUAUCAGAAAGCCACGGCUAACUACGUGCCAGCAGCCGCGGUAAUACGUAGGUGGCAAGCGUUGUCCGGAUUUAUUGGGCGUAAAGGGAGCGCAGGUGGUUUCUUAAGUCUGAUGUGAAAGCCCACGGCUUAACCGUGGAGGGUCAUUGGAAACUGGGAAACUUGAGUACAGAAGAGGAAUGUGGAACUCCAUGUGUAGCGGUGGAAUGCGUAGAUAUAUGGAAGAACACCAGUGGCGAAGGCGACAUUCUGGUCUGUUACUGACACUGAGGCUCGAAAGCGUGGGGAGCAAACAGGAUUAGAU